GAAAUCCAAAAAUAAAAAUAAAAUUUACAGUUUGUGAAUUUUGAUAUAUCAGCUGCCUUUAGUUACAGUGAUCUUUUCAAAGCUGCCUUAAUUUACCGAUUUUGUUUAGGGUACAAUCUAUAUUAUUUUUCAAAUUCUGAAGUAUUUUAUUAUUUAUCGACUGUUCCUAACGUAAGUAGCAAAAGACUUGAUAGUUAGUAUCUGAUAUUCCAAAUUUAAAUCAUAAUUGAUUUAUAUUUUUAAUUAAAUUUAUUUUUUUAAAAAUAAACGAAAUGUGUAACAUAUUAUUUUAAAAAAAAAAACUAAAAUAAAACAGUAAUUUUUCACAAUGUUUAACUCCGUGGAUUCCAGCUAUCAGGUGGUGGCAUCACCUACUGUUUUUUGAUGCAACAAAGCAACAGCUGUUGUCAUGAUAAAAGUGCUUCGAGCUUCUUCCAGCUUCUUUUGGAUUGGAUUUUUUUUUUUAAAAGGGCAAUUGUUUAUAUAUUUGUUAAAAGUUUCUAACUUUUCGAUUUACGUCUCUUAAAAGAUUAAUAUUAAAAAUAUCCCUUCUAUAUUUCAACCUAUUUUUAAUAUAUUUCUAGAAUUAAAAUUUGUUAAGUAAUUCUGUUAUUUCUGUAAAAUUAUUAUUUUGCCCUUUCAAAUAUACCCUUCCACCAUCACUUUCUUUCUUAUUUGCCUUUAAAGUCAGGGGUAUAAAAAGUAUUUUGACAUUUGGUCUUUUCCAAUAUACCCCCUCUACCGUCACCAACCUUUCUUAUUUGCCCUUAAGUUAAAGACAAAAUUGGCAUUUUAAUUUUUUUAAUUGUGGUAGAUAUUUAACUCACAUUUAAUCCAGGUUAACUUAACAGGAGAUAACUGCGGGGGUAUUUUGCAAUAACGGUGGAACAUAUGAGGGAUAUUUUAGAAAGAAAAAAAAGUAAGAGUAAAUCGGAUAUUUCCAAACGUACGAGGGUAUAUAGACAAUUAUCCCUUUUUUUAAAUAGUUUUUUUUAAAAAUAAAUUGAUUAUGGAUUUUAGUGAAAUAUCAUAUGUUCAAUAUUGACUCAUUAAUAAUAUUUUUAAAAUUUUAAAAUAUU
This 1079-nucleotide long non-coding RNA is filed under the name Ananas comosus (pineapple). RNAcentral's name for it is "long non-coding RNA (ACOM_LNC007887)". Lineage: Eukaryota; Viridiplantae; Streptophyta; Magnoliopsida; Poales; Bromeliaceae. The record is from RNAcentral.